GAUGAACGCUAGCUACAGGCUUAACACAUGCAAGUCGCGGGGCAGCAUGUAUCUGGCUUGCCAGAUACGAUGGCGACCGGCGCACGGGUGAGUAACGCGUAUCCAACCUGCCCAUAACCACGGCACAGCCCGUCGAAAGGCGGAUUAAUGCCGUAUGAGGUUCUCAGCAGGCAUCUAACGAGAACGAAAUGUGAAGGAGAAGGAUGGGGAUGCGUCUGAUUAGCUUGUUGGCGGGGUAACGGCCCACCAAGGCGACGAUCAGUAGGGUUCUGAGAGGAAGGUCCCCCACAUUGGAACUGAGACACGGUCCAAACUCCUACGGGAGGCAGCAGUGAGGAAUAUUGGUCAAUGGGCGAAGCCUGAACCAGCCAAGUCGCGUGAGGGAUGACGGUCCUACGGAUUGUAAACCUCUUUAGCCGGGGAGUAAAGUGAGCGACGUGUCGCUCAUUGAGAGUACCCGGAGAAUAAGCAUCGGCUAACUCCGUGCCAG
This 490-nucleotide ribosomal RNA is filed under the name uncultured bacterium. RNAcentral's name for it is "bacterial SSU rRNA". It matches the Rfam family "Bacterial small subunit ribosomal RNA", at positions 28 to 511 of the family's 1533-position model. The record is from RNAcentral.